GAGGAAAAACAAAACAAACAACCCGCGGGGAAAAAAAAAUGUCAGGCGCAUUUUUAUUUUUCAGAACUGUGGAUAUCGGCUCGAUAUAUUUGGUGGCGGGUUCGGAUACAUGUUGAUUGAAUUUAAUUCCCUUGGCUGAAAUCCAUGAAGGCACGGGAUCUACAGAGCAACUGUAUUAGUGCAGUGAGAACAAGACAUCUCAGAACCAACAUACAGCUGACUGCAGCCCUUCAAGAAGUACUUUAAGACUCUGAUAUGGGAUUCACCAUUACCACAGCUUCAGAUUUGAGUCAUUGGAACGUGGCAUUUUUAAGACUGGAACAUGAAGAAAGCAAACAAUGCAGAGGAAGAAAAUUAUCCCCUUUGGUGAACCCUGCUGACAUAGUCUCUCAGAUACUCCCUGAUAAGCUAUCAACUGGAUUUUCCAAAUAGAGGGAAUGUGAUAUAUGGAAAGAUCUUAGAUGAGGACAAGGCACCUCGCGGCCUCCGCGGCCUCCCCGGUAGGAGAGGAAAUUGAAUAAUGAAUACAUGUUUUACUUUGAAUGAACAAACUCUGAAGUUUUUCGAUAAAAAAAAUUAAACUUAAUUUGUAACGUUUGCUAACCAAUUAGAAGGAUGUCAUUGUAGAAAAUUGAAAUGUGGUAAGUUUGCUGCUGUAUUAAGAAGUUUGUGAUAAUGUUAAACACACACACUAGGGAGAGAUUAUCGUGUUUUAUAUAAUUUUUAGUGCAAAUUUGGACAGUGGAGAGCGAUGCACAUUCCUGAGUUUUGCUAAUACUGCUGCAUAGAAGAGAGUAAAUGUAUGUAGUCUCUUCCAUAUCAAGAAUUAAACUCUGAUAUUAUUUUUUUAUUCAAGCACAAGAUGUUUACAACGCAUAUUAUUACACACGUGUACAGAGUGUAGCAGAGAAAAGAUGACUAUGUAUUUGUGAGUAUUUGUUAGUUAUAAUACCUGUCGUAUUAAUAUGUGGAGCCAAGUUUUUACGCACAGUUUUAUUCUUCUUUUCAAACGAAGUGACUUAAAAAAAAUCCUUCAGUGAUCCAGAUAAUUUGGCAGCAAUUUGUGAAAUAUAUUUUCAUGACUACCCCAUCCCUAAAAAGAAACCAAAUGUGGCCCAUUUCAUUAAAUAUGGAUAUGAUCCCUUGCUCGAAUGAAAACUACCAUGAAAACAGUGAACCUUCUGCUUCCUGAUUCGCUAGUUCAAUGAAAGUUGAUAUUUCAUCAAGAGUUGCUGUCAUAUUAAAUCUUUAUGAAAUGUAGCUCGCAUCAGCUUUUCACUAUUGUGUAUUGCCACCGAAAAAAAACUUGGUUUUGCAAAA
Molecule: long non-coding RNA, 1320 nt
Organism: Lytechinus pictus (painted urchin)
Lineage: Eukaryota; Metazoa; Echinodermata; Echinoidea; Temnopleuroida; Toxopneustidae
Exons: 3
Source: RefSeq, a predicted model, not a curated record